GCCAUUAUAGCUCAGUAGGUAGAGCACUUCCAUGGUAAGGAAGGGGUCGGCAGUUCGAUUCUGCCUAAUGGCUCCA
RNAcentral lists this transfer RNA (76 nucleotides) under Clostridia bacterium. RNAcentral's name for it is "tRNA-Thr". It matches the Rfam family "tRNA". Rfam says of the family: Transfer RNA (tRNA) molecules are approximately 80 nucleotides in length. Their secondary structure includes four short double-helical elements and three loops (D, anti-codon, and T loops). Lineage: Bacteria; Bacillati; Bacillota; Clostridia. The record is from RNAcentral.